This is a long non-coding RNA of Anguilla rostrata (American eel), 2770 nucleotides long. RefSeq lists it as uncharacterized. The transcript is spliced from 5 exons. Lineage: Eukaryota; Metazoa; Chordata; Actinopteri; Anguilliformes; Anguillidae. The record is from RefSeq and is a predicted model, not a curated record.
GGGAGAGGAGAAGAGAAGAGAGAAGGGAGGAGGGAGAGAGCGAAAGAAGAAAAUGAGAGGGGAAACACAGCCAGACGAACGCUGGUGCUCCUUUUCCCUCCGCUGCUGUGAAACACUAAUGCGAGCUGGAGACGAGCAGAGCGGGGUAGGAGCUCGAGGGACCGGGGCGGAGGGGACGCCCUCGCUCCCACCAGCACGGGACAGGACAGGACAGGGCAGGGCAGGGCAGGACGGCCCGCUGCCCCGGGACGUCCUCUACACGCGCGGAGCAGGGGCUCGCGUACACUAAGGUGUGAUAAAGGGUAGCCCCCUAAAAGGCACUGGGGUCUAGACCCUGAGGUGAGCCAGUUCUUGCCCCUCUCCAUCGCUGCAUAGGAGGUUUUCAAAGACACAGAAGUCAAAACAACAUGUGUUGUGGACGUGGGAACAGCUGCAGACUUGAGACAAGUUAGGCGGAGGCGGGAAAGUGAGGUCUACCAACGAGAGCAAGCCCUGGGGCGUUCAGCCUCAGACACCGGCCCUCAACAGCACUGGCGCUUUACUCGCUUCAGAUGAAUAAACACGUACGAAAAGGUCAAAGGUCACCAAGGUUACAAUUUCACUCUGCUUCCAAACAAACUCUCCCCAGCUGCCAAGGUUUCCAGAAGGGGGUUAAGUGCCGAUGGCGGAGGCUGACCCGGCCCGGGAGGCAUGGGAAAGGAUCGGAGGAGGCGGGCUCGGCGACGUCACGACUACCCGAACCCUGGGGCGACGUGCAGACGUGCCCCGCCCCCCGAAUGGCUCCGGGCGAAAGCGAGUGUCAGUUCCACGGGGUCCAAGAGCCACGCAUGUGGAUCUCAUUUGGGCACAAGCAGGAGGUUAGGGGAAAGGGUCAGGGGAUCCACCUCCCUCUGCACCAAGCCCAAACUAGCGGAAAUGGCGUUUUCUGCUCUGCCACAGAGAAACGUCAAAAAGCGUACAAGUUGUUGUCAUCCAUUGCUUUUCACUGCAUGGAUACAUAGCAUAACUAAUUCACGUUAAUAUUUAUUAUGCCACCGACAAAUAUGUCUCUACACACGUCAGAUUUACACCGUAACAAGAUGAGUUACAAAAGCAGACAAUCUGUCAUUACUUUCUUCACUUGCGUGCUUUCUUCACUUCUUUCUAAAAAUGACAAAACCGUUUGUCUUACCGAUGUCUCAUAUAUGGUAAGUGCUCUAACACUAUUCUUAUCCAUUCAAUAAAUUGAAUAUAUGCUCAUUUCAACACACACAUGCACACCCCUCAUGGCCAACAGCCAUCAACAUGUUAGUAUGUCACUAUGUGUACUGAGCAAGCACGAAAAUAUUUAAAUGGAUUUUCAUUUGAGUUACAGCAGACAAGCUCACCCAUCACUCUUAAGUACUGAUUACACACUACUGAUGCUAUGGUCAACAGACUGUUUGUGUGCUAAAGUUCUCACUCAAUAAGAAGGGAAACAGCCUUCCUUCAAAAUGCUAAACCGAUGACAUCACCAGUCAACCAAUGACCAGGUAAGUCUGUACUGCACUAAUGAAAAUCUGAAUAGAAGAACUACUGCAAACCUGUAUUGAACAGAUUUUGAAUGUUUACACCACCAAGUCACCAUCUUUAAAAGCCUGGUUCAUAUACUAUUUCCAUUGUUUACUUUACGUUUACCCACUAACCAGUUCUGAGCCUAGCCUAUGUGGAUGUCUACUCAGAAACAGUGGGAAAGAAACAUUUUGGCUUCUUUACAGAUUGGAAAUGUUGCAAGAUUUGAUUUCACAGUAAAAUUUAGGCUGCCCAAUUCUAUUAUGAAGCAUAACAUAACCUAGAGGGACAAAAUCUUUCUCCAAAUUCUGGCUAGCAUGUUAGAGCCAAGUAUUAAUACCCAUAGAAUGGCACUUAAAACUAAAUCUUGUCCAAAAAAAAUUGAAAUAAAUUCAAAGUUAUUCAUUGGUUAACCCUGGCUAUAUGUUCUCCCUCACUAUAUUUUGAGAUAUAUAUAUAUAUAUACACAUUUAUUUUUACAUAAAUUUAUUUUCAUUAGAUCAGAGGUGUCCUGUCUUACCAGAAAAGGCUGGUUAAUUAUCUGAUCUCAGCAUCAUAGUGCUGGGCUAAAACAAAAACCUGCACCCAGACUGGCCCUAUUUGGAGGCCCUAAGACUGGACACCCCGUUAAAGACCAAACCAACAUUAAAAUGAGUUCAACACAGAUCAACAGAAACAUACUGUAAAUGCAUUGUACUGUAAUUGUGAUUUGGUUUCAUACACAACUUUAAAAUGCUAAAUAACAACAGGUGGGAGGUGUAAUAAAAGAGCGAAGGUACAACAACACCAUCUAAUUCACCUUGAGUUAAUUGGUUUCCAACCAUGCAUUUAAACAGGUCAUAGUUUACAUACACACCUUGCUAAGUAGCUACCUAUCUUGUUAAUUGACUAAAAUGGCUUAGCUACUGUUGCUAGGCAUUCAUGGAACUGUGAAAAAGCUGCAAAGCUAAUGUUUGCAAGCGUCACAUCUAAUUUAAAACGGCACAUAACUAAGUAUUCUAUAAACUGGUUGGCUAGUUGGCUAAAAAAGAAAUAAAGCUAGAUUUAGCUAGUCAGCCAGCAAACUCAUAAAAUCAAGUAAUUCCACUAAUGGUUCAUAGGUUGGAAUUACAUAGAGUAUUGAGACAUCCAGGCAUUUGUUGACAUAUGUGCAUCAUCAAGGGCUAAGUAAACUAUUUACUGUAAUGGGAAUUGGGAAACGUUUUUGCGGCUGUAAACAAAUAAAACUGAUGAGGCUUUU